This 465-nucleotide ribosomal RNA is filed under the name Vreelandella stevensii. Its description in RNAcentral is "partial 16S ribosomal RNA". It matches the Rfam family "Bacterial small subunit ribosomal RNA", at positions 338 to 795 of the family's 1533-position model. The record is from RNAcentral. Lineage: Bacteria; Pseudomonadati; Pseudomonadota; Gammaproteobacteria; Oceanospirillales; Halomonadaceae.
CCUACGGGAGGCUGCAGUGGGGAAUAUUGGACAAUGGGCGAAAGCCUGAUCCAGCCAUGCCGCGUGUGUGAAGAAGGCCUUCGGGUUGUAAAGCACUUUCAGUGGGGAAGAAAGCCUUGGGGCUAAUACCCUCGAGGAAGGACAUCACCCACAGAAGAAGCACCGGCUAACUCCGUGCCAGCAGCCGCGGUAAUACGGAGGGUGCGAGCGUUAAUCGGAAUUACUGGGCGUAAAGCGCGCGUAGGCGGUCUGAUAAGCCGGUUGUGAAAGCCCCGGGCUCAACCUGGGAACGGCAUCCGGAACUGUCAGGCUAGAGUGCAGGAGAGGAAGGUAGAACUCCCGGUGUAGCGGUGAAAUGCGUAGAGAUCGGGAGGAAUACCAGUGGCGAAGGCGGCCUUCUGGACUGACACUGACGCUGAGGUGCGAAAGCGUGGGUAGCAAACAGGAUUAGAUACCCCAGUAGUC